GCCGAGGCGAUGGCGGCGGCCGCGUACGAGCUGCUGGUGCUGGGCGGCGGGUCGGGCGGGCUGGCGGGGGCGCGCCGUGCCGCCGAGCUGGGUGCCCGCGUCGCCCUCGUGGAGCCGUGCCGCCUCGGCGGCACCUGCGUCAAUGUUGGUUGUGUCCCCAAAAAGGUGAUGUGGAACACAGCGGUUCACGCGGAGUUCAUGCACGAUCACGCCGAUUACGGGUUUGAGGUGGCUGGCAGCAAAUUUAACUGGAGAACUAUUAAAGAAAAACGUGAUGCUUACGUGAGACGCCUGAAUGAGAUCUACGAGAAUAACGUAAAAAAGAGUAAUAUUGAAAUCAUUCGUGGCUAUGGAAAGUUUACGUCUGAUCCAGAGCCUACAGUUGAAGUCGAUGGUAAAAAGUACACAGCUCCUCACAUCCUUAUAGCUACUGGCGGACGACCAUCAGUCCCUCUCGAAAGUGAGAUUCCUGGUGCCAAUCUGGGUAUCACCAGUGAUGGAUUCUUUGAUCUUCAAGAGCUGCCCAGGCGCAGCGUUAUUGUUGGUGCUGGGUACAUUGCAGUAGAAAUGGCAGGGAUCCUUUCCACUUUGGGCUCCAAGUCCUCCUUGCUGAUACGUCAUGACAAGGUGCUGAGGACGUUUGACUCGUUGAUAAGUUCAAACUGCACAGAGGAGCUGGAGAACACCGGGGUCGACGUGUGGAAGCACGCACUGGUCAAGACAGUUGCAAGGUCCCCUGGUGGACUGCUGGAUGUGACAGUGACAUCCUCUGUGCCUGGUCAUAAGCCAACGGUUGGAGUGAUCGAGGAUGUGGACUGCCUUCUAUGGGCCCUGGGGAGAGUCCCAAACACAGAAGGGCUUUUCCUGGACCAAGUGGGUGUUGAACUGGAUGCAAAAGGUCACAUUCUGGUCGAUGAGUUCCAGAACACCACGAGGAAAGGGAUUUAUGCCAUCGGGGAUGUCUGUGGAAAAGCUCUCCUCACCCCAGUUGCGAUAGCAGCUGGCAGAAAGCUUGCGCACAGACUCUUCGAAGGCAAGCAGGACUCCAAGCUGGACUACACUAACAUUCCCACCGUGGUCUUCAGUCACCCACCCAUUGGGACCGUGGGCCUCACCGAAGAUGAAGCUGUUUCUGUGCAUGGGGGAGAGAAUGUGAAGAUCUAUAGGACUUCAUUUACCCCCAUGUAUCAUGCAGUCACCAAAAGGAAGACCAAGUGUGUGAUGAAACUGGUUUGUGCUGGCAAGGAGGAGAAGGUUUUUUCCACUCGUGUAGGUUCCUAGUCUGGACCUGUGUGUGGUGAGAACAGUGGCAUGACACCUGCAUUCAGCAUGGCCAUCCUACAGGAGAGGCUUUGGAGCCAUGUCCCGAUGAGUGGAGGCAGUGACCUGGAACUGUGCAGUGGUGGCCGCAGGGCUGUUUGAGUUGAAGCCAAGGGUGUGACAGCCGCUGUGGGAACGGCUGCUAGUGACGUCCUGGUGGUGCUGGCCCACUCCCACCUGUACGAUGCUGCAGGGCCACCUGAAGGCUGUGGAGGAGACCUUGGAGGAGUUUGUCCUCAUCACCAUCCCACUCCUGAGGGAUGGAGCCUGCGAUCCCUGGCAGCUCUGCCUGACCUGUGGCUGCUCUCUGCAGCCCUGCAGUGCAUGCCAACUGCCCUGAACUGCUCUUGCUGAGCCCGGGCAAGCCUGGCCUGGGUGGAAAGCAGCCUGCGGUGCAAAGUCUCCUGCCGGUCAGAGACUCUGGCAUGCUCCCAUUUCCCUUCCUGUAGAGCAGCAGUGCAGCGGGACAAGCGCAUACUUGGGUGAGCAGGAGCGACGUGCCUUCCCUCACCUGGGUCAGCCCAGCUAUCCAGAAACAGGAAGCUGGGAAACAGGCAAGUAAACAUGAAACAGAAAGGAAGGACAAGUCGCAGCACUGUGUCACAAGACCUACUGGUGUACCGUGGAGGGAGGUGGACAGCAAACCCAGCACAGAGCUGCUCAACGGUGGCCGUAGCCUGAGAGUCGUUGCGGUGGCAGCGCUCUCUCGGAAGGUACUAACGCCAGGCCAGCGCGAGUCAUGGAGGGGUUUGGUAAGGAAGGUAAAAUGAGACUGGGACGACAUUCAAGCAUUGUUAAAACAGAUUUCAGCCAGGGGACAGAGAAUGAUGGAUACUGGAAAAAGACAGGGAAUUGGCAGACAGAGAUGUAUGCUGACAACCUUGGCCAUGAGUAGAUCCAAAUUGGGACUAUAAUAAUGCAAAUGAUAGAGCAGCAUGUGAAAUGGCAUGCCAAAAUCUAGUUUUAGCAACAAGAGCUACAGGGCAAAUGGGCGUUAACUGGGAAAGGGUUCAGGAAGUAAGGCAGAAGUCUGACAAACACCUGAGCGAUUUUUGGAAUUGCUUGCGGCAAGCCUUGUUACGCUAUGGAGGGAUGAAAAUUUUCAUGAAAGGCCGGCAAUGAGUGUAUUUGUCCAGCAAGCGGCACCAGAUACCCAUGAGGAUUUCAGAAAACACACUCCAGGGUGGCAGGGAGAGAAUUUACAGAAAAUACUAUUGUUAGUGAUUUUAUAUACAAUGGAAGGUAGGAAAAAGGAAGGAAAGAGAAGGAAAUACAAAAGCAGGAGGAAGUGAGUGUGUUGGCAGCAGCACUGGGAGAAUUCCAAACAUGCAAGGAAGGGGAAUAUAAACACGAGAGGAUGAGGCUAAAAGGGAAGAGGGACCAGACGAGCAGGAAUGGGUAGGGGACAGUUGAACCCAAAUUACUGUGCAUGUUCUAGGAAAUAUUGAAAGGAGAUUUACAAACAAUUACGCUGUCAAAAAAUACUAAAUGGAUACAGUAUGCAGGUGCCUUGUAGACUGCGAGUACUGAUUGUGGUAUUUUUUUUGCAUGACACUAGAACAUUGUUGUGUGCCCUAAUGGAAAAGGGACACAAAGUCUUUCUUGCCAAAAUGCAGUUGUGCCAGCAACAAGUUAAUUGUUUGGGGAGGAUAAUUCAGUCCUCUCUCAAGAGAGAGAUUGAUCUCAUGGGAGCAAAUGCGAGCAAUCCAAGAAGUACCAGUCCCUCAGAUAUAAAGGCAGGUUAGGGCCUUUUCAGAUGCAACAAGAUUUAAUGGGUAUUGGAUAUCUGGAUUUAGUGAAAAAGCAACAGAGUUAACACAGCUAACUAAAGAUAGUGAACCAGAUUUAGUGGUGUGGACUCUGGAGGCGGAAUAAGCCUUUAAAGAGUUAAAGCAGGCAGUUAUGGAAGCAUUACCGGACUAUGGAAAGUCCUUUGUGGUAUGUUAGUGUGAAUGAAAGGGAAUUGCAAGUGGUGUGUUCUAGUUCAGAAAACUGCCCAGGGCUGGCAUGCAAUAGCUUAUUAUACAGCAGAGCUGGAUCCAGUAGUUCAAGGAACUGAACGUGCUCUAGGGUUGUAGCAGCAAUGGCUGUAAUGAUUGAGGACGUGAGGAAUAUCGUUUUAGGGCACCCUUUAACUGUAAUAGUGCCUCAUGCAGUGAAAAUUCUCCUGACCCAGCAGGGUCGCUCGUUAUUUACCCACUAACGUUUGCACUGGUAUGAGCUAGUUUUGCUCACUGAACCAAAAGCGGUUUUUGAAGAGUGUGAUAUGCUAAACCCAGCUCCUUUGCUACCAGAAAUACUGCAGUCCAAAGAAAAAUUAAUUCACAGUUAUUUGGAAAUGACAGAUUUGAGGCCAAGUAUUCUACAUCUUGUGAAAAGAGCCCCUGCGCAAUCUGGAUUUAAUAUUGUUCUGUGAUGGAUCAUCAUACUAUGAAAAGGUUGCAGGGUAUGCAGUAGCUACGCGAUAUAUAGUGCUGGAAGCUGGGUCCCUUUGAGGACAAUUUGGGGCUCAAGAGGCAGAACUGAUAGCCUUAACCUGACCAUGUAUUAUUGCCAUGAGUAAGACUGCUAAUAUCUAUACAGAUUCAAAAUAUACUUUGGGAGUGAUAUUUGCAACGUGAAUAACUUGGAAAGAAAGAGGCUUUCAGACAGCAGUAGGACAUCGAAUAGCCCACCAAGAUCAGGUUUUAGAGUUAUUAAAGGCUUUGGAAAAGCCUUUUGGAAAAACCUUUGCAGAGUUAGCAAUCCUGUAUGAGAAGGCUCACUGAUGAGAUGCUUCAGAUACAACUAAGGGAGAUAACCUCGCUGAUGCCGCAGUGAAAGCAGCUGCGCUACAACCUCUGCCCACCAACCUGGAGCUGCAAGAAGAAAGGGUAGGGAGUGAGGCUCAUGAAGAACAGAGAAAAGAACAGCAAGCCAGACCUAAAUGUUUCCAUUCUUCCACCUCUUUAGGAGCAGAACAAAAAAAAUGGAAGAUGGGUUUUGUAGGGAAAACUGUUGCUCCCUAAGGUCAUGUUGAUGCUGCUAGUAAGAGAACUCCACGGAUGGAUGUACUGGGGAAUGCCUUAUUUAGAGAACCAAAUUUCCCAGUCACGGGCAGCGCCAGGUUUGACUCAAGCAAUUUUACAAGUAAUGAGAGGGUGUUUAGUAUGCACAGAAAAAUGCUAAGUCACAGAUAGAAGCUAAAAUAAAAGGAGGGCACCCUUGGGCUUGAAUGCCAUUUCAGAAAUUACAAAUAGAUUUCACAGACAUGCCCCCAAAAUACCCUGGAAUUAUAGCCAUGUUGCUACUGGAGCGAGUGUAAUGAAGUGCUACUAAGAUGAUUAAGGGACCGGAGCAGCUCCCAUAUGAGGAAAGGCUGAGAGAACUGAGACUGCUCGGCCUGGAAUAGGGAAGACUGAGGGGGGACUCUUAUCCAAGGAAUUAAAAUAGCUGAAGGGAGGCUGUGAAAAGGAUGGGGCAAGACUGUUCUCAGUGGUGCCCAGUGGCAGAAUGAGAGGCAAUGGGCACAAAGGGAAACACAGGAAGUUCCACCUGAACAUCAGGAAAAACUUCUUUACUGAGAAGGUAACAGAGCUCUGGAAAGGUUGCCCAGAGAAGUUGUGGAGUCUCUCUCUCUGGAGAGCCAUCCAGAUGAGAUCCUGGGCUCUUGGUGACCCUGCUUUUAAGCAGGGAAAGUGGACUUUGAAGAUUUCCAGAGUUGUCUUCCAGCCUCAACUGUUUUUGGAUUCUGAAAUUCCCUAAUGGUGCCAACGGGUGCUUUGUCUUCUGGUGGUGCUUACUUGCCUUCUGGGGCUAGAGGCAAGGGCAUUG
Molecule: RNA transcript, 5133 nt
Organism: Rhea pennata
Lineage: Eukaryota; Metazoa; Chordata; Aves; Rheiformes; Rheidae
Gene: GSR
Gene name: glutathione-disulfide reductase
Exons: 14
Source: RefSeq, a predicted model, not a curated record